CAGCCGCCGCGGUAAUACGUAGGGUGCAAGCGUUAAUCGGAAUUACUGGGCGUAAAGCGUGCGCAGGCGGUUCGUUAAGACAGAUGUGAAAUCCCCGGGCUUAACCUGGAAGCUGCAUUUGUGACUGGCGGGCUAGAGUAUGGCAGAGGGAGGUAGAAUUCCACGUGUAGCAGUGAAAUGCGUAGAGAUGUGGAGGAAUACCGAUGGCGAAGGCAGCCCCCUGGGCCAAUACUGACGCUCAUGCACGAAAGCGUGGGGAGCAAACAGGAUUAGAUACCCCCGUAGUCCCUGUCUCUUAUAC
RNAcentral lists this ribosomal RNA (301 nucleotides) under uncultured bacterium. Its description in RNAcentral is "partial 16S ribosomal RNA". It matches the Rfam family "Bacterial small subunit ribosomal RNA", at positions 509 to 807 of the family's 1533-position model. The record is from RNAcentral.